RNAcentral lists this transfer RNA (1224 nucleotides) under Anas platyrhynchos platyrhynchos (common mallard). RNAcentral describes it as "lncRNA (ENSAPLG00000017907.1)". The stretch from base 592 to 663 matches the Rfam family "tRNA". The record is from RNAcentral. Lineage: Eukaryota; Metazoa; Chordata; Aves; Anseriformes; Anatidae.
UUAUUUCCCUUUAAUUAAAUUAUCCUUAUCUCAACCCGUGAGUUGUUCUUUGCUUUGCUUCUCUCCCUCCUCAUCUAAAGGAGGGGGAGUGAGAGAGCAGUUGUGGGGUUUAGUUGCCCAGCACGGUAAAACCACCACAGCAAGAAGGCAAAUACUGUGUUGUAGCUGUGUGUGUGUGUGUCAGAUGCUGCAACACCAUGGUCUGUAGCGACAGCCACAGGCAUCGAACCUAUUUACACACGACAAAGCUAAGAUUAUAGAUACUUGGAAACUCGACAAGCAACUAGCUUCAGAACAAGCUUUACACGACAUACUGGGAGAAAAAUGAAAAGUGGAGAUGCCGGGGAUUGAACCCGGGGCCUCAUACAUGCAAAGCAUGCGCUCUACCACUGAGCUACAUCCCCUUCAUACUUAGCGCUCUCCCAGCAGUGUAGACAUAGCUCAUCCAGCGUCCACAGCGCCGUGCAGCCCUGCCGCCUCUGCUCCUCGCCGCCCCCUGCACCCAGCAGCACGGCCGGGCCAGGGAGCGGAGGCCUGCAGCGCUCCGGCCUUAUAGUGGCACCCGGGGAGAACUUUCCCAUGUAGCUACUGUCCUCGUUAGUAUAGUGGUGAGUAUCCCCGCCUGUCACGCGGGAGACCGGGGUUCGAUUCCCCGACGGGGAGGUUGUGCUGUUUUGUGCUCGGCGGUGGUGGUGCAAUGUGACCGAGGCCGUUACUUAGUGGGACGGGGAAGAACAUGCUUUCUCCAGGGAUCCUCACUCGAUCGCUAGUCUGCCAGUGGCUGACAUGGUAGAAAGAUGUGCUUUUCUAUUCCAUUUUUGUGAAGUUAGAGGCAGUGCCAAUUUAAAUUUUGACUGAGGCUCUGCAAUGGUGUGUUGAGGAAUUUUUGAAACAGCAAGGAGGCCAUGACUUGCUGCAGCUGAGCAAACCAAGAUACCAGGACGACUACGAGGAAUUCCCAUGACGAUGUUUUCUUAUCGCCCGACUGAGGAAUUAAAAAUAUUGUUGCAAGCAGCUGGCACUUCCUUCAAGGACUACACUACGUGACUGCUAAUCACAAAGGGGUUGUUUUCUUCCAGGUGGGGUUGUUUUCUUGCAGUUGUUUCUCUGAGUGCUUUCAACCAAUAAUCUUGUGUGAAACUCUAUCCGCCCCUGCUAAAUUUGCUAUAAGAGUCAGACUAUUUAGGUAAUAAAGAGAGAGCAUGAUAUGACCGUAUUGUAGUG